This 77-nucleotide transfer RNA is filed under the name Gammaproteobacteria bacterium. RNAcentral's name for it is "tRNA-Asp". It matches the Rfam family "tRNA". Rfam says of the family: Transfer RNA (tRNA) molecules are approximately 80 nucleotides in length. Their secondary structure includes four short double-helical elements and three loops (D, anti-codon, and T loops). The record is from RNAcentral. RNAcentral also lists the same sequence under 1 other name. Lineage: Bacteria; Pseudomonadati; Pseudomonadota; Gammaproteobacteria.
GGAGCGGUAGUUCAGUUGGUUAGAAUGCCGGCCUGUCACGCCGGAGAUCGCGGGUUCGAGUCCCGUCCGCUCCGCCA